Pteronotus mesoamericanus is the source of this 399-nucleotide non-coding RNA. RefSeq annotates it as small Cajal body-specific RNA 2. The transcript has a single exon. Lineage: Eukaryota; Metazoa; Chordata; Mammalia; Chiroptera; Mormoopidae. The record is from RefSeq and is a predicted model, not a curated record.
AGAGACAGGAGGGAGAGUGGCCUGGGGUGACAAUGUUGUGUGCUAUGCCAUGGUGUCACAUGGAGGGUGCUUGCAGGCUGAAUGUGUGAGUGGAUGUGUGAAUGUGAACGCAGGUGGGGUGUAUAAGGCGAAUAUGCCUCCCCCUGUGUCCUCAUUGGGCCCCCCCUCCCCCGGCCUACACGUUGAUCUCACUUAAUGGGGUUGUGGUGCCAGCCUGAGAUGAAAACCUCCCCUCCUGUGUGAAGCACCAUCCUCAGGGUGCUGUGCAGCAAGGCCCCUGUGAUAAGCAGCACCAUGGUCUCAGAGCAGUCCCACGGGGCCAGUGCUUAGAAGUGAUGAAUUGAUCAGAAAGACAAGGUCAGGCCUAUCUUGGGCCUCUGAUUAUUAAUGCUGGUCUGC